Molecule: ribosomal RNA, 591 nt
Filed under: uncultured sordariomyceta
Lineage: Eukaryota; Fungi; Ascomycota
Description: eukaryotic LSU rRNA
Rfam family: 5.8S ribosomal RNA (bases 231-384)
Source: RNAcentral
CUUGGUCAUUUAGAGGAAGUAAAAGUCGUAACAAGGUUUCCGUAGGUGAACCUGCGGAAGGAUCAUUAAAGAAUGCCCCGUUUUUUGAAAUGGGUUCUAUUCCCAAACCGUGUAUACAUACCUUUGUUGCUUUGGCAGGCCGCCUUCGGGCGUCGGCUCACGCUGACCGCGCCUGCCAGAGGACCCAAACUCGUUUGUUUAGUGAUGUCUGAGUACUAUAUAAUAGUUAAGACUUUCAACAACGGAUCUCUUGGUUCUGGCAUCGAUGAAGAACGCAGCGAAAUGCGAUAAGUAAUGUGAAUUGCAGAAUUCAGUGAAUCAUCGAAUCUUUGAACGCACAUUGCGCCCCUUGGUAUUCCGAGGGGCAUGCCUGUUCGAGCGUCAUUAUGACCACUCAAGCCCCCGGCUUGGUGUUGGGGCCCGCGGUUCUGCGGCCCUUAAAACCAGUGGCGGUGCCGUCUGGCUCUAAGCGUAGUAAUUCUCUCGCUAUAGGGUCCAGGUGGUUACUUGUCAGAAUCCCCCACUUUUAUAGGUUGACCUCGGAUCAGGUAGGGAUACCCGCUGAACUUAAGCAUAUCAAUAAGCGGAGGA